RNAcentral lists this ribosomal RNA (390 nucleotides) under Ochromonas tuberculata. RNAcentral's name for it is "partial small subunit ribosomal RNA". It matches the Rfam family "Eukaryotic small subunit ribosomal RNA", at positions 30 to 432 of the family's 1831-position model. Lineage: Eukaryota; Chrysophyceae; Chromulinales; Chromulinaceae. The record is from RNAcentral.
GCUUGUCUCAAAGAUUAAGCCAUGCAUGUGUAAGUAUCAGAAGUCUGAACUUCAAAACUGCGAAUGGCUCAUUAUAUCAGUUAUAGUUUACUUGAUAGUACCUUACUACUUGGAUAACCGUAGUAAUUCUAGAGCUAAUACAUGCAUCAAGCCCCGACUUCUGGAAGGGGUGUAUUUAUUAGAUGGAAACCAAUGCGGGGCAACCCGGUAUAUGGUGAUUCAUAAUAACUUUCGGAUCGAUUUAUCGAUGCAUCAUUCAAGUUUCUGCCCUAUCAGCUUUGGAUGGUAGGGUAUUGGCCUACCAUGGCUUUAACGGGUAACGGAGAAUUAGGGUUCGAUUCCGGAGAGGGAGCCUGAGAAAUGGCUACCACAUCCAAGGAAGGCAGCAGG